Molecule: long non-coding RNA, 1547 nt
Filed under: Sus scrofa (pig)
Lineage: Eukaryota; Metazoa; Chordata; Mammalia; Artiodactyla; Suidae
Description: lncRNA (ENSSSCG00065006202.1)
Source: RNAcentral
AAUCUGCAUCUAUGAGCCCAGCCCCUGGCCCUGACCGUGAUGAGGAUGCUCUCGGGAAUGACCGGGGAAUCUGUAAAGUACUCGUGUUCCUAAAAGGACCCACGAAACGGCAGUCUACCUGCUUAAAAUUCUCUGAGCCUCUGGAGAGGAGAAAAGUGGAGGCCAUGAAAGAGCUUGACCCAUGUCUGGAUUUCUCUGCCGACAGCUGUAACGUGGUCAGGAAUACUGUGCAUUUUUCUUUCCUGGCCGAAGGAGAGGGGAAAGGAUGCUAAUUCCCCCAUGCCAAACCCAAGACUGGGAGAGGCUCAGUGUUGUCAUGGACCACCUAAGAACCAGAGCUCUAAGAAGUAUGGAUGAGUUACACCCUAGAGCUUGAAGGUGGAAGUCUGGUACCCAGUUUGCAUAACACUGUUGAGAUUAAGAAGAUGACUGCGGUUCCCUGACAUCCUAGGUGGACGUUCGAGCUGGCGUGGAAGCAAGUUGCUUUUCUGUCGACAUCAGUGCAUGGUCAGGGUCUUCACUUUGAUACUUUUUGUAGAGAAACCUUUGCUCCCCCUCCUUUUUUUUGUUUUGCCACGCCUGGAGCAUAUAGAAGUUCCAGGGUCAGGGAUGGAAUCCAAGUCACAGCUGCAACCAGGGCCACAGCCAGGGCAACACUGGAUACUUAAAACACCAUGCCAGGCUGGGGAUCAAACUUGAGCCUCUGCAGUGACCUGAGCUACUGCAGUUGGAUCCUCAACCCACUGCGCUUCAGUGGGAACUCCUUUUGUUCCUUUUUAUAACAGUGGAAUAUAACACAAAAGAGUUACUUUCAAGUUUCUGCACAAUUGAAAUCUGGAUAAUUUUUAACUUCUAAAUUAAGAUUACUGAGUAAAAUGACUGAUAUUUGAUUUUAAAACAAAACAAAACUUUACCAAACCUUAUUUGAAAUAAUGUUGAUUCCUAAAUAUAAGAAGGAAAUUCACAGUGUUCCCCAGUGCCUAAGUAGGUCAAGGAUCUGUCAUUGUCACUGCCGUGGCCCACGUUCUAUUCCUGGCCUGGGAACUUCCACGUGCCAUGGGUGCUGCCAAAAAGGGGGGGGGGGAGAAUUCCCAGUGAUCAUAUCAUGCUAAGACACUUUGUACUAAAAAUGGACUUUGUAGGAAUUCCCAUUGUGGCACAGAGGAAACAAAUCCAGCUAGUACCCAUGAGGACAUGGGUUCCACCCCUGGCCUUGCUCAGUGGGUUAAGGCUCUGGUGUUUCCAUGAGCUGCCGUGUAGGUCAGAUCCCACAUUGCUGUGGCUGUGACCUAGGCUGGCAGCUAUAGCACUGAUUCAACCUCUAGCCUGGAAACUUCCAUAUGCUGUGGGUGCGGCCAUACAAAGAAAAUGAAUUAAAAAAAUAAGAGCAGACUUUGUAAAUUUCAGUAUGUGUUUUAUCUUUUAAAAAAAUAACCCAUUGUUCUUUUUUUCUGUUUUUAUGCUUUUCAAAGAUGGCAAAAAUAAGCCAGAUUUUAGAAGAUAAUGUUAGUUGCAAAAUAAAAAAAAAUACUUGAAGUUAGAGAUCA